This 468-nucleotide ribosomal RNA is filed under the name uncultured bacterium. RNAcentral's name for it is "partial 16S ribosomal RNA". It matches the Rfam family "Bacterial small subunit ribosomal RNA", at positions 28 to 507 of the family's 1533-position model. The record is from RNAcentral.
GACGAACGCUGGCGGCGUGCUUAACACAUGCAAGUCGAACGGAAAGGCCCUGCUUUUGUGGGGUGCUCGAGUGGCGAACGGGUGAGUAACACGUGAGUAACCUGCCCUUGACUUUGGGAUAACUUCAGGAAACUGGGGCUAAUACCGGAUAGGAGCUCCUGCUGCAUGGUGGGGGUUGGAAAGUUUCGGCGGUUGGGGAUGGACUCGCGGGUUAUCAGCUUGUUGGUGGGGUAGUGGCUUACAAAGGCUUUGACGGGUAGCCGGCCUGAGAGGGUGACCGGCCACAUUGGGACUGAGAUACGGACCAGACUCCUACGGGAGGCAGCAGUGGGGAAUAUUGCACAAUGGGCGGAAGUCUGAUGCAGCAGCGCCGCGUGCGGGAUGACGGCCUUCGGGUUGUAAACCGCUUUCGCCUGUGACGAAGCGUGAGUGACGGUAAUGGGUAAAGAAGCACCGGCUAACUACGUG